ACGACGCUGGCGGCAUGCCUAACACAUGACAAGUCGAACGAGACCUUCGGGUCUAGUGGCGCACGGGUGAGUAAUGCGUGGAUAAUCUGCCCUUUAGUUGGGAAUAACGUACCGAAAGGUGCGCUAAUACCUGAUAAUACUGCAUAACUACUGUUGUGUAGUCAAAGAAGGCCUCUGUUUACAAGCUUUUGCUGAAGGAUGAGUCCGCGUACCAUUAGCUGGUUGGUGGGGUAAUGGCCUACCAAGGCUACGAUGGUUAGCUGGUCUGAGAGGAUGAUCAGCCACACUGGAACUGAGACACGGUCCAGACUCCUACGGGAGGCAGCAGUGAGGAAUAUUGCGCAAUGGGGGCAACCCUGAUCCAGCCAUGCCGCGUGAGUGAAGAAGGCCUUCGGGUUGUAAAGCUCUUUCGGCCGGGAAGAAAUCGUAUGGGUUAAUACCCUGUGCGGAUGACGGUACCGGCAUAAGAAGCACCGGCUAACUACGUG
RNAcentral lists this ribosomal RNA (488 nucleotides) under uncultured bacterium. RNAcentral describes it as "bacterial SSU rRNA". It matches the Rfam family "Bacterial small subunit ribosomal RNA", at positions 32 to 507 of the family's 1533-position model. The record is from RNAcentral.